AGCGAACGCUGGCGGCAUGCCUAACACAUGCAAGUCGAACGCCUAUAGCAAUAUAGGAGUGGCGCACGGGUGAGUAACGCGUGGGAACCUGCCCCGAGGUGGGGGAGUAACCGAUGGAAACGUCGGCUAAUACCGCAUACGUCCUAAGGGAGAAAGAUUUAUCGCCUUGGGAGGGGCCCGGCGUCGGAUUAGCUAGUUGGUGGGGUAACGGCCUACCAAGGCGAUGAUCCGUAGCUGGUC
Molecule: ribosomal RNA, 240 nt
Filed under: uncultured bacterium
Lineage: Bacteria
Description: partial 16S ribosomal RNA
Rfam family: Bacterial small subunit ribosomal RNA
Source: RNAcentral